GUUAUCCUCUUCAUACGAUAAACUUCACUCUUCCUUUGUCCAUUCAAUCUCAUGAAUAUCUUCUCAUCAAUAUCUUCUCCUAUACCAAUAAAUAAUUUCGAUUUCCAAUUCAACAAUCAUGGAACCAGCCCGACUUCUUGAUCGAUUUGGCUUCAAAUUAAAAAAUAUCUCAUGAUUUCUAUCUUUUUCCCAAAUUUCAUUAGGAGCUAAUGGAUGUGCCUAUUUUACCUGGAACAUUGUGAUAAAUAUCUUGGACUGUAAACUAUUUUGAUUUAUUCAGCAAGAAAUAUGUUUCAAUGAAUUCCAAUGCAAUUAUUUGUGGUCGUGAAAGAAUAGUUAUAUGAGUUGUUGUGAUGGAAAAGGGAUUUGGUAAAUUUGCUUCGUGUUGCAUACUCAAGCCAGAGCCAUGGUCAGAGCUCUUAUUCCUCUGACGACUUGCCCAAGACUACUGUGAUGACUGUCAACCAAGGUUCAAUUAUAAAAAGUCUGGACUUCCAUCCACUUCAGCAAAUUCUACUUCUUGGUAUGGGAUGCAGUCAGGAAUGGAAUUGUUUAUGAUUUUUCUGCACCAAUUCUGAUGUUCACAAGUAGGCCUUGGAUUUAUAGUCUGGUAUAAGAUUUUGAAUUUUGUUAAUGCCAACAUCUUAAUAUAGAACACCGUACCAUAGUGAUAUGGAAAUACAGCAUAAUAUAUAACUAUUUCCUCCGUUUUGGUGUAGAGGUAUUGGUUUGAUACCGGUACGCCCGAAAUUUUGAAUUUUGUUGGCUCAUCACUAUUUUACUUAAACCACAUACUAUUCCUCUACCAAAAUGUACACCAUUGCUAUAAUUUUGCUACUGCUCAUCACAUUAUUACAGUCUUUUUUACAUUUGCAGUAGUGUCUUCUCUAUUACUGCAUUAUAUUUUCCUUACUAUGCUAUUACAUUAAGG
Vicia villosa (hairy vetch) is the source of this 931-nucleotide long non-coding RNA. RefSeq lists it as uncharacterized. The transcript is spliced from 3 exons. The record is from RefSeq and is a predicted model, not a curated record. Lineage: Eukaryota; Viridiplantae; Streptophyta; Magnoliopsida; Fabales; Fabaceae.